Molecule: ribosomal RNA, 253 nt
Filed under: uncultured bacterium
Lineage: Bacteria
Description: partial 16S ribosomal RNA
Rfam family: Archaeal small subunit ribosomal RNA
Source: RNAcentral
UACCAGCACCCCGAGUGGUCGGGACGAUUAUUGGGCCUAAAGCAUCCGUAGCCGGUCCUACAAGUCUUCCGUUAAAUCCACCUGCUUAGCAGAUGGGCUGCGGAAGAUACUAUAGGGCUAGGAGGCGGGAGAGGCAAGCGGUACUCAGUGGGUAGGGGUAAAAUCCUCUGAUCCAUUGAAGACCACCAGUGGCGAAGGCGGCUUGCCAGAACGCGCUCGACGGUGAGGGAUGAAAGCUGGGGGAGCAAACCGG